UACGUAGGUGACCAGCGUUGUCCGGAUUUACUGGGCGUAAAGCGUGCGCAGGCGGUGAUGUAAGACAGGUGUGAAAUCCCCGGGCUUAACCUGGGAACUGCAUUUGUGACUGCAUCGCUGGAGUGCGGCAGAGGGGGAUGGAAUUCCGCGUGUAGCAGUGAAAUGCGUAGAUAUGCGGAGGAACACCGAUGGCGAAGGCAAUCCCCUGGGCCUGCACUGACGCUCAUGCACGAAAGCGUGGGGAGCAAACAGG
This 253-nucleotide ribosomal RNA is filed under the name uncultured bacterium. Its description in RNAcentral is "partial 16S ribosomal RNA". It matches the Rfam family "Bacterial small subunit ribosomal RNA", at positions 524 to 776 of the family's 1533-position model. The record is from RNAcentral.